UACGUAGGGUGCGAGCGUUAAUCGGAAUUACUGGGCGUAAAGCGUGCGCAGGCGGUUCGUUAUGUCCGAUGUGAAAGCCCCGAGCUUAACUUGGGAAUGGCAUUGGAAACUGGCGGGCUGGAGUGCGGCAGAGGGGGGUGGAAUUCCACGUGUAGCAGUGAAAUGCGUAGAGAUGUGGAGGAACACCAGUGGCGAAGGCGGCGAUCUGGGAAGAUACUGACGCUGAGGUGCGAAAGCGUGGGGAGCAAACAGG
RNAcentral lists this ribosomal RNA (253 nucleotides) under uncultured bacterium. RNAcentral describes it as "partial 16S ribosomal RNA". It matches the Rfam family "Bacterial small subunit ribosomal RNA", at positions 524 to 776 of the family's 1533-position model. The record is from RNAcentral.